RNAcentral lists this ribosomal RNA (505 nucleotides) under uncultured bacterium. RNAcentral's name for it is "partial 16S ribosomal RNA". It matches the Rfam family "Bacterial small subunit ribosomal RNA", at positions 28 to 523 of the family's 1533-position model. The record is from RNAcentral.
GAUGAACGCUAGCUACAGGCUUAACACAUGCAAGUCGAGGGGUAACGAGAGGGAAGCUUGCUUUCCUUGUCGACGACCGGCGCACGGGUGAGUAACGCGUAUCCAACCUGCCCCCAACUAGGGAAUAACCUUGCGAAGGUAAGACUAAUACCCUAUAAUUUCCUCAGAUGUCAUCUGACGAGGAAUAAAGAUUUAUCGGUUGUGGAUGGGGAUGCGUCUGAUAGCUUGUUGGCGGGGUAACGGCCCACCAAGGCAACGAUCAGUAGGGGUUCUGAGAGGAAGGUCCCCCACAUUGGAACUGAGACACGGUCCAAACUCCUACGGGAGGCAGCAGUGAGGAAUAUUGGUCAAUGGGCGGAAGCCUGAACCAGCCAAGUAGCGUGCAGGAUGACGGCCCUAUGGGUUGUAAACUGCUUUUAUACAGGAAUAAAGUUAGCCACGUGUGGUUAUUUGUAGGUACUGUAUGAAUAAGGACCGGCUAAUUCCGUGCCAGCCGCCGCCGUAA